AGUAAUGAGAAGCGGGAAAACAUGCGUCUUAUCAAUCCACCCUCAGUCUCUUAAAUCUAUCAGAACGCCAGAGUUCAUGCCAUUUGUUGUGUUCGUGACAAAUGAAGACGAGAUGGCCAGUGAUAAGAGUGAUAGCCGAACUAUGUACGACGAUUACAGACAGUAUUUCGACA
Long non-coding RNA from Bolinopsis microptera, 173 nucleotides. RefSeq lists it as uncharacterized. Lineage: Eukaryota; Metazoa; Ctenophora; Tentaculata; Lobata; Bolinopsidae. The record is from RefSeq and is a predicted model, not a curated record. The transcript is spliced from 3 exons.